Molecule: ribosomal RNA, 561 nt
Filed under: Peribacillus simplex
Lineage: Bacteria; Bacillati; Bacillota; Bacilli; Caryophanales; Bacillaceae
Description: bacterial SSU rRNA
Rfam family: Bacterial small subunit ribosomal RNA
Source: RNAcentral
UCGAGCGAUCGAUGGGAGCUUGCUCCCUGAGAUUAGCGGCGGACGGGUGAGUAACACGUGGGCAACCUGCCUAUAAGACUGGGAUAACUUCGGGAAACCGGAGCUAAUACCGGAUACGUUCUUUUCUCGCAUGAGAGAAGAUGGAAAGACGGUUUACGCUGUCACUUAUAGAUGGGCCCGCGGCGCAUUAGCUAGUUGGUGAGGUAAUGGCUCACCAAGGCGACGAUGCGUAGCCGACCUGAGAGGGUGAUCGGCCACACUGGGACUGAGACACGGCCCAGACUCCUACGGGAGGCAGCAGUAGGGAAUCUUCCGCAAUGGACGAAAGUCUGACGGAGCAACGCCGCGUGAACGAAGAAGGCCUUCGGGUCGUAAAGUUCUGUUGUUAGGGAAGAACAAGUACCAGAGUAACUGCUGGUACCUUGACGGUACCUAACCAGAAAGCCACGGCUAACUACGUGCCAGCAGCCGCGGUAAUACGUAGGUGGCAAGCGUUGUCCGGAAUUAUUGGGCGUAAAGCGCGCGCAGGUGGUUCCUUAAGUCUGAUGUGAAAGCCCACGG